GGGUGAACGCUAGCGGUGCGCCUAACACAUGCAAGUCGAGCGGUAGACUUUUCUAGCUUGCUAGAAAAGUUGAGAGCGGCGAACGGGUGAGUAACACGUUGGUAUCUGCCCCCAAGUCAGGGAUAGCCAUUGGAAACGAUGAUUAAUACCGGAUGAUCUCUUCGGAGUAAAAAUUUAUUGCUUGGGGAGGAACCUGCGGUCUAUCAGCUAGUUGGUGAGAUAAAAGCUCACCAAGGCUAUGACGGAUAUCUGGUCUGAGAGGAUGAUCAGGCACAAUGGAACUGAGACACGGUCCAUACUCCUACGGGAGGCAGCAGUGAGGAAUCUUCCACAAUGGACGAAAGUCUGAUGGAGCGACACCGCGUGAAGGAUGAAGGCCUAACGGUUGUAAACUUCUUUUCUGAAGGAGCAUAAUGAGAGUACUUCAGGAAUAAGGGACGGCUAAAUACGUGCCAGCAGCCGCGGUAAUACGUAUGUCUCAAGCGUUACCCGGAAUCACUGGGUGUAAAGGGUUCGUAGGUGGUUUGAAAAGUUGGAUAUGAAAGACCGGAGCUCAACUCCGUGUUGGUAUUCAAAACUCUUAAACUAGAAUCAGGGAGAGGUAAGCGGAAUUCUGUGUGUAGGGGUGCAAUCCGUAGAUACACAGAGGAACACCAAAAGCGAAGGCAGCUUACUGGAACUGUAUUGACGCUCAUGAACGAAAGCGUGGGUAGCGAAAAGGAUUAGAUACCCUUGUAGUCCACGCCCUAAACGAUGAUAACUAAGCGUUGCGACUCGCUCGCAGUGCUGUAGCUAACGCGUUAAGUUAUCCACCUGAGGAGUACGGUCGCAAGAUUAAAACUCAAAGGAAUAGACGGGGACCCACACAAGCAGUGGAUCACGUGGUUUAAUUCGACAAUAAACGGGGAACCUUACCCAGACUUGACAUCUACCGAAUCUACUAGAAAUAGAAGAGUGCCUUUAUUGGAGCGGUAAGACAGGUGCUGCAUGGUUGUCGUCAGCUCGUGCCUUGAGGUGUUCGGUUAAGUCCGUUAACGAGCGCAACCCAUGUUCUUAGUUAUUAUGUCUAAGAAGACUGCCUUGGUUAACAAGGAGGAAGGUGUGGAUGACGUCAAAUCAGCAUGGCUUUUACGUCUGGGGCCACACACAUGAUACAAUGGUAUGUACAAAGAGUAACAAUAUGGCGACAUGGAGUUAAUCUUGAAAGCAUAUCUCAGUCCGGAUUGAAGUCUGAAACUCGACUUCAUGAAGUUGGAAUUGCUAGUAAUCGUGAAUCAGAUAUGUCACGGUGAAUAUGUUCCUGGGUCUUGCACACACCGCCCGU
This 1324-nucleotide ribosomal RNA is filed under the name uncultured bacterium. RNAcentral describes it as "bacterial SSU rRNA". It matches the Rfam family "Bacterial small subunit ribosomal RNA", at positions 27 to 1397 of the family's 1533-position model. The record is from RNAcentral.